Molecule: long non-coding RNA, 647 nt
Organism: Lethenteron reissneri (Far Eastern brook lamprey)
Lineage: Eukaryota; Metazoa; Chordata; Hyperoartia; Petromyzontiformes; Petromyzontidae
Source: RefSeq, a predicted model, not a curated record
UCCAAAUCGUUUGCUGCCCGUUCGGCGCGGGUUGUUGUUGUCCCAUUUAGCAGCCGAUCGGCCGCCUUCCCACGGAUGCAAAUCGUCAGCGAGCGCCUCCGUCGCCUUCCGCACGGGAAGACCGCGACGACUUCAAUAUCCGCCGGUGGAUUCGUUCGCUAUUCGCCGCAAACGAAUCGGUGCGCGGCGCGACGGGACGGGAGGAGGAGGCCCAGGAGACCCAGGCCCUCCCCUCAUCCCACCCCCACUCCUCCUGCUGCUGCUGGCUCGGGCUCACUGCUCGGGGGUUUCGGUGUCCGCUGUCGCGGGCUGCCAGGCUGGGUUUGGGCUGCCGGGCUGGGUUUGGGCUGUCGGCUGGGGGCCCUCUGACCUGGCGGAGAGGCAGUACAGAAAGGUGGUUGUUGGGGGCGCUGUUCGCCUACGUGGAUUUGAGAUGGAGGCCGCAGGGUCGCAGGCGGUCUCUGGAGGGCCCCCGUCUCUCUCGGCCCCGCGGGCCACGCUGCUCAAGCGGGAGGCCUCCGAGCGGCCGUGGCCGGGCGUCAUCGUGAAGCGUGAGGUGGUGGACGGCUUCAGGCCUGACGCGGUGGCACUGUCGCUGAAGCGUGAGCACGAGGAGGAGGGGGAGGAGGAGGGGGAGGAGGAGGGGG